This 2877-nucleotide unclassified non-coding RNA is filed under the name Hevea brasiliensis (rubber tree). The record is from RNAcentral. Lineage: Eukaryota; Viridiplantae; Streptophyta; Magnoliopsida; Malpighiales; Euphorbiaceae.
GCCUUCGCAACUCGGGAAUUAUUUCAUUUGAUAAUUGUUCAAACAGCCUCUUAGCCAAAAAAAUCCUAGGUUUGACUCAAAAUUUUGCUAUUGCAACUUGCAGGUGAAUGGCCAAAGCCAUUUCGAGAUCAGCUGUGUGAUGCGCUUCUGCACCCAUGGUUUGAGAAGGGACCAUUUUCAGCUCCUUGCGGCUUCCUUUAAUUUGUAUGGUUUGAGACUUAUAGGGCGCGUUCAAUUGCUCAAGUUUAACCGAUCAGUAAAUCAUCCUCAGCAACGCUCACACACUUUGCCAAGCAAACAAUCGCCUAUUGCGAGAAGCAGCAAUGGUAAGCAGGGCUGCUACAUUCAUAUAAUAACAACUGAAGCCUUGUAAUAUCAAUGCUUGGCACAACAACUCGUGGACUUUGGCCAAUAGUUUUGGUGAACAGUAAAACUAAACAGUAGGUAAACUACCGUUAUACAAGAAUUUCACGAGACCACAAAAGGAUUCUGCUGGAGAGUUUCAAAACAAAGUGCAAUGAGAUGACCCAAUUCAUUUGGAUACCUUUCUGCUUGAUCACCAUCACUUGUGCUGCCUGAUUGAUAAGCUUGGGUAACAAAUUUACACAUCUGUGCACCGGUAAUCAAAUUCCAUGCUGCACGGUGAAUAAAAAGCAGGUCUUGACACCCAUCAGCAAUAUCCUAAUAAAGUAAUAAUAACACUUCCUGCUCAAGGGAGCACAGAGAUGAACGCACAUAUGAAGAGCAAUAACGCUGUUCAAUAAACUGGUCACCUUUUGCAUGUCUUAAAUCAUUUGACAGACAGUUCCAAUCUGAAUUGUGGCUGAAUAACCCUUACAAACUCAUGGCACUUUAUAGUUCAUAUUCUUCACUUUCUCAGAUAGCUUAUCAAUACUUCAGCCAGAGACUUGCACAAUCCAAGUGCUUCGAAUUUUUGCUCCUCUUCAUAAAAUAUAUGCCACUGUUUUGCCAAAGCAAAGUCAUUUACCUCUGUGUCUCAGAUUCUCUCUCUCGCCGGUAAACAUAAAUGGAGCCUAAGACCACUCUUCCAAUCCUUCUGCUUUUUCGAGUUCUUUUACUUACACCUUUCUUUCUGUCCUUCUUAACUAUAGGUUGGGAGGGUACAAGCUGAAUCCAUCUCAAAGGCAGUAAUGCUGCAACAAAUUGUAUCAAAAUUACGAUAGGCAGGUUCGAGUAAUUACCAGCUGUUAUUCCCAUAAAGGAAGCUAGGCCAACACCCAAAAACCCACCAAGAAUUGAUGACAAACACAAUGCUGAUGCCAAGAAAGAAGUGAGGGAACCUUCAAAACCCUUGGGACAUAAACUUGCCAGUAAUACUGAAAAGGGAAGAAGCUUAAAUUGUGCAAGUGUUUCUGCUAAACCCGAAAAACAACAAACAAAUACCUCAUUGGGAAUCCCAUGUCUAAGAUUGAUCUGUCUCACUAGAACAAAGUCAAGAAGAAGAGAAGCAGCAUAGAGGAAUUGCACUGCACCUAUCAAUUUCCUCAUGGGCACUUCUUUCCAGUAACGGUCAUAGAGUAUAGACAUAGAAAGAAGCAUCAACUGGCCAAUUACUCGUGACAAUCCUAUAACUGAAGGAUCGAGAUGUAGACAUUGCAUUUGAUAGCAAAAGAUAGAACCUGAGAGAGCUGGGACUAUGGCAAUGGAAGCAACAAUCCAAAUAAGAGGGCAAGAGAUGGAUUCCUCACGUAAUGCCUUUUUAAGACCACUUAGCUGUUUUCCAAUAUUUUCCCAGAUUGAUUUCUUUGCAAAAAUGUGAUGUGAUAGUUGUGAUAAACCCAGAGACUCCUCCCUAGCUGUCGAUGAAAUUGUAAGUUGAAUAGAUAAUAAAAAGGCAAAUAUGAUAAACAUGUUUUGUGGUGGUGUUUUCAAUAAGAAGCAACCACCAAGUAAGUUGCCUAGGAUUCCACCCACAGCUGAAGCCAUAAAUGCAUAGGACUGGAGACCUGUCUUUUUGUGUUUUUGGCCAUACUCUGCAACAAGAGCAUCCUUUGCAACUUCUGUAAUUGAUGCGCCAAGAUUACCAAGAAGAACACAAGCCAGAAGAGUAGGAAGGGCUUCACGGGCAACUGGGAUGAAUCCUAAUGGCCCCCAAGAUAGGACCUGCAUCAAGACCCCAAUGAGGAUAUAAGGUAUUCUAUGAGCACCACCAAUGGAUAUAGCAUCAGAGAGGAUUCCAUAUAGAGGCUUGGCCACCAUGGGAAGGUUAGCAGAGUACUGCACAAGCUGCAAUAUUGAUGGGUGCAGAUUGAGAUUGUUGGCCAUGUGGAAGUUGAGAGCCAACCAUGGAAAGCACCUAAAACCCUGCAUCCAAUACCCAAACCCACAUAAUAAAGCCAUCUGCUGGCUACCCGCUUGGGCAAAACCUCUCUUCUCCUCAUAUCCCCUGCUUAUAUUGCCCUUCUGGGGAAAAACUGGACUUGGGGUAAUUAUUCCAAAAAGAUGGGUUCUGGGUUUAGCAAGUCUGUUGAUGAUGUUGGGAUUUUGAUUUUGAAAACAGCAUUGAGUCGGUCUCAAGUGGAAGUGAGAUAAUCUUAGGGGAGGUAAACAUAAAUUUGGGUUUUUAGGAGCUAUCGUUGCAAUUGGGUUUUUAGUAGCAGAUGAUGAUGAAGGAAUCAUGGUUGUAGAGUAUUAUGAGGUUGACAACAGUAAUCUAUGUAAUAGUUGACCCAAAACAAACAAACUUGCAUAAGUUUUGCCUGUGAGAAAGCCAAAGAGAAUAACAGGGGACAAAUGACAAGAAGUACAGCAUAAAUAAUAAGAAGGCAGCAAAACCCACUUUGUGAAUUGCUCGAGGAAGAAGAAAGAAUAUAAUAAAUGGGAAGAGAGAUCUGGAAGGGUUUAGGCAAAGGUUCU